CGCAGUGUGCUGGACUUCGCCCUUAGAGUUUGAUCCUGGCUCAGGACGAACGUUGGCGGUGUGUCUAAGGCAUGCAAGUCGAACGAGAUCGCUUUCUUCGGAAAGCAUUAUAUCUAGUGGCAGACGGCUGAGUAACGCGUAAGUAACUUACCCUAGAGUGGGGAAUAACACAGAGAAAUCUGUGCUAAUACCGCAUACGAUUUAUUGAUAAUUUCUGUACAUGAAAGAUUUAUCGCUCUUGGAUGGGCUUGCGUCCUAUCAGGUAGUUUGGCGGGGUAAUGCCCACCAAGCCUAAGACGGGUAGCUGGUGUGAGAGCACGACCAGCCAGAGGGGGACUGAGACACGGCCCCCACUCCUACGGGAGGCAGCAGCUAAGAAUAUUGCACAAUGGACGAAAGUCUGAUGCAGCGACACCGCGUGAGGGAUGAAGGUUACAAGAUAUGUAAACCUCUAUUAUUAGGGAGUAGCAAGGACGGUACCUAAUGAAUAAGCUACGGCUAACUACGUGCCAGCAGCCGCGGUAAUACGUAGGUAGCGAACGUAGUCCGGAAUCACUGGGCGUAAAGGGUCC
RNAcentral lists this ribosomal RNA (572 nucleotides) under uncultured bacterium. RNAcentral's name for it is "partial 16S ribosomal RNA". It matches the Rfam family "Bacterial small subunit ribosomal RNA", at positions 1 to 570 of the family's 1533-position model. The record is from RNAcentral.